CCACCUCCCGUCCAAAAAAAACCACCCCACCCCACCCGCUGCCCCGAUCCCCACCUUGACCUCCCUCGAUCCCCUCCCCCGAGCGCCGCCACCCUCGCUGGAUCUCGCCGCCCUGCGCGCCUCCUCCCGCUGGCCGACCUACCCAAGGCGCCCCCCCCCCCCCCCCCCCAACCUACUAGCGCGGGGUCGCUGGGCGCCGCCCACACCACCGGGAACCUGCUACCGCACUUCCGCCAUGGUCGCACGCUCCUCCGCGGCCCAAUCGUCGCCGCCGCCGGGGAUCCUCGAGCACCAUCAUCCUGGCACGCAGUCCAUGGACGCCUCCCCACGCAGUCCCUUUCUUGCUGCCGACGCGAAUCCUGUCAAUCCCUUCCUCUUCUCCUUCUCUUCCUCAAGUGAUCUUUGCUGGAUCCUGCCGCCGUCAACACCAGGCAUCCGAACCCCGGCCCUGCACUCCAUCGCCGCGCCCUGUCUUCUUCUCGCUGCGGCUGCUCCACAUCGCGUCCGCCCGCCGUCGCGAUGCCCCAACUCGUCUGCUUUCCCUAACCCCUGUUGGUUGACCUUCUCGCAAAGGCCACCUCGACCUUCUCGAGGAAGGUUACUUACGAGGAUCCGGCUCGCAAGGUGCACACCAUCUCAUCCUAGCUGCUGCUGUGUGAAGAUCCACCGGCCCGAAGACGCAAGAGCAAGAACAGAGGUAGAUACAGAUUAUGAGUAGAACAUGGACUGCUCGCACGCGCCGCCAUGGAAUGCUCCGCUGCCAUCCCUACUGACUGAACUCAUCUUAAGAGUUUUGUUCACAGAGAUAACGGACUGACCUAUCUGCCCAGCAAAAUGCUGCACUUUUGGUGCAAAACCGUCAAAGAUGAACUCAACAAUCUCCGAGGCGACGGCACAACCAGAAAGUACGAGGAGUGGGACCGUGUGUACCGCUAUAACUACAACAACGACCUCGGUGAGCCGGACAAGGGCUAUCCGCGCCCAGUUCUCGGCGGCACCCAAGAACUCCCCUAUCCCCGUCGUUGCAGAACUAGCCGACCCCCAACAAAAACAGGUGAGUCCAGUGCAGUGUAUAUGUUUGUUCUUUUUCACAUGUUGACAACCAUGUCACCUUGCAAUUGGACACAUAUCGGGGAUUUGAUCUUUUUGCCAGACCCUAGAUCGAAGAGGAGAAUUCCUCACUACAAGAUACAGGAGGCCCUCGACAUCACUGUCCCGCGUGAUGGUAUUUAUGCAUCUUCCUAGUUGCUAAGGCAAUGCUGGAUUUAAUCAUCCUAGGAGAGAAGAAGCAAAAAGACAAUCAAAGUGUGAGAGAGAACACGUACAAUGAUGAGAGGACAAAAAAUGUGUGGUGGUGAAUAGCUCCACCGCAUUGCCAUUUGGCCCCAUUUUGCCCAUUUAGCCAGUGUCCCCUUCAAAGUGUUCAUCUUUAAAGAUAAUGGAACCAAUUUCUUUAGUAUGUACUUACAAUUGCAACUCUGUGCGUCUGUGUAAUGUUUGUAAACUUGUAAAGAAAAUGGAAGUUCAAGGCGAAACCAGCAAGUCCAUGGAACAAAAAUCCAAACUUUUGAAA
This is an RNA transcript of Triticum aestivum (bread wheat), 1573 nucleotides long. It is a transcript of the gene named probable linoleate 9S-lipoxygenase 4, with no coding region annotated. The record is from RefSeq and is a predicted model, not a curated record. The transcript has 3 exons. NCBI's taxonomy places the organism in Eukaryota, Viridiplantae, Streptophyta, Magnoliopsida, Poales, Poaceae.